UUCGCAAUGCCCGAAAGGGUGACGAAGCGACGCCGCGUGGGUGAGGAAGGCCUUCGGGUUGUAAAGCCCUGUCAGGAGUUAAGAAAUAUAAGUGCGUUAAUACCGCAUUUAUUUGACGAAGGCUCCAAAGGAAGCCACGGCUAACUCUGUGCCAGCAGCCGCGGUAAUACAGAGGUGGCAAGCGUUGUUCGGAAUUAUUGGGCGUAAAGAGCACGUAGGUGGGUUUGUAAGUCAGAUGUGAAAGCCUUCUGUUCAACGGAAGAAUUGCAUCUGAAACUGCGAGUCUUGAGUGUAGGAGGGGAGAAUGGAACUUCUGGUGGAGCGGUGAAAUGCGUAGAUAUCGGAAGGAACGCCGGCGGCGAAAGCGACUCUCUGGCCUAUUACUGACACUCAGUGUGCGAAAGCUAGGGGAGCAAACGGGAUUAGAUACCCCGGUAGUCCUAGCCGUAAACGAUGGGCACUAA
Molecule: ribosomal RNA, 464 nt
Filed under: uncultured Planctomycetota bacterium
Lineage: Bacteria; Pseudomonadati; Planctomycetota
Description: bacterial SSU rRNA
Rfam family: Bacterial small subunit ribosomal RNA
Source: RNAcentral